Molecule: long non-coding RNA, 218 nt
Filed under: Carica papaya (papaya)
Lineage: Eukaryota; Viridiplantae; Streptophyta; Magnoliopsida; Brassicales; Caricaceae
Description: long non-coding RNA (CPAP_LNC003348)
Source: RNAcentral
UAAUGCAUCUCUUGUAUCUGCUUUGGUUGCUACAAGAAUCGCUUUGGUGGCUAUCAGUGUUGCACCUGAAUUUAUUAUACGUAGAAUACACAACCCUAAUCUUCCCUAAUCAUCAGUCUGGCUUAAUGAUUACGCUAAUUUAAAGUUUGAUCUUUAAGACUUUAUGUCAACUAUACGUAAAAUCCAGACUGCAUGAUCAUGUUUUUUAAUUAACGGCU